Molecule: long non-coding RNA, 9512 nt
Filed under: Capsicum annuum
Lineage: Eukaryota; Viridiplantae; Streptophyta; Magnoliopsida; Solanales; Solanaceae
Description: long non-coding RNA (CANN_LNC018663)
Source: RNAcentral
UCCUCCCUUUGAGCUAGCUUAUGGGGUGUGAGUUAGACCCAAGACUUAAUUUUACACUAAGAUAACAAGUGAUAAACUUGAGUUUAUCCUAAUAAAGCCAACCAUCCAAAAAAAUUAUUAAAAACACCAAAUAUAUAAAGAUGUAAAUCACCAUUAAAAACAACACUUAGUUCAAUUCGAGCGAUAGAUUUUCUUACUUGAGGAAAGGGUUUCUCAAUUAUCAAAACCUAAUACUCUCCUUCCAAAAUGAGAAGCCUGCUUGAUCUCUCUCUCUCUCUCUCACACACACACACGCAUACACAGAUAAAGCCCUAGUCAUUCUAACGAUGGAAAUUUUCAAAUUAAGUUCUCUCUUUGCUAGAUCAACACGCGUGUCAGCUUGAUAAAAUUUUCUCAAUGCAUGGUUUGAUUGAUAAUUUUAGGAUGAUUCAAUUGUUGUUCCUUAAUGUCUGGAUUUGUUCAAGCUACUCUAUAGCGGUUUACCAACAUUACAUCACAUUCACUUGCUUAAUAAAUUUCCCCAACACAUCAAGUUGGAUUGUCAAUUCAAGUUUGUGCCUCAUAUUCCUUCAUUGGUUAUUGAAGAAGCUCCUCAACGCUCCGCAAGCAUCGCAAAGGGUCAGAAGAAAGCUGCUACAACAUACUAGACUUGAGUUUCUAUCCAAAGGUCAGGCAAUUAAACAAAGUCAACCCCUCUCCAGCUAGGUCCUUGAGAUCGCAAAAUUAUUCAAGAUCUGCCUCUCCAAGCAUUUUUAAUCAUAUCUUGAAGUUUCUUUAGCAUGCAAUCCGAACACUUUUGACUUUAGAAUGGGUCAACGUUUCUGUUGACUAUUAUCAAUCUUCUGAAUUAUAUCAUUCUUUUGCUCAUGAUAAAGACUCAACCUCGAGCUUAGCAUAUCUACAUCAAAAGAAAUUUUUUUCCAAAAUAUUAGGCAAAUUACAAUGAAGGCAACACCAAAUUUCCUUGGUUGAAAAGACAUGAAAUAAUACACAAACCUUUUUGUACACUUGAAUUUAGAUAGUUGCCAUCAAUAAAUGUCGAGAUAUAAUCGUUAUCUAAAAUAGCAUCAUCAUAUGACAUAAGAAUAUAGUACGUUACUUUUAAAAAUACCUUAGAUGUUGACACUUCUAGGAUGCAACACUAGGAAUCCCAAGCAUUAUAAUGAACCAAUUACACUCACUUGAAUUACACUCAUAGGAUGCAAAAAUACCUUAGAUGUUCUAGAUGUUGACACUUAUAGGAUGCAACACUAGGAAUCAAAGCAUUAUAAUGAAACAAUUACACAUGUCGCAUGAAAGCUUCAACCAUUUGUCUGUCAGGAAUCUCAUCAAUAUUAUAUAAUUUAUGGCUUCUCAAAUCAACUCCAUGCCCUGUUUCUUGAUCUCUACCAGUCCAAGCAUGUGUAACAUAAUAUGACGUCUCCACGUGUUUGUUGAAUGUUUUCCACUUCAAAAAGAGAAAUCCAAGUGCUUGUAACUUCUUUGCUUGGCUACUAAUGUUUUAGGUGUAGGUGUAGGGUCCUAACCCCCCUCCCCAAUAGAAGAAAUUCACUCUCUAAUUUUCAUUUUUACUAUAAAAUGACGUAAAUGACUGAUAUUGGAUACAUUAUGCACAAGAGAAUCAUCAGGAGGUUCUUAUAAGCAUUAUCAUUAGUGUGCGCAAGAGCCUAGAAGGGGGCUUCUCUCAUUGGUAGAAUCUUUGUUUCUCUUCAUGGUGGUAAUCAGUGGCGGACCCAGAAUUUGAUGUAAGUGGGUUCAAAUAGUAAAUAAAGAACGAUGAUGUUAGCAAAUAGUGUACGCAGCUUGAGCACAACAAAUGAUUUGCUCGUUGCUAUUUUAUUGUCCUUUUUUUGUUAAUAAUAUAAUAUCAAAAUAAGAUUAUUUAAAAAAAAAAAAAUGCUCAACACUUGUUUAAUUUAGAAAGUUCGAGAAAAAAUACAAAAAUUUGCUAAGAAUCAAUUUAAAUUUUUUUUAAAACUAAAAUUAUAGAAAACUAAGAUACCAUAUAUGAUUUCAACGAAACAAAUUGCAUGUUUUAGCAAAAAUCUAUCAAAGAGAUACCAAAAUGUAAUUAUAGAAAGGUGAUUUUUUUUUUGUUUUGAGUUAAAAUAGAUUUUACAUUUUUAUUAAAUUUGAGUGAGAAGACACAAAAUAAACAAAGAAUUUUUUUUUAAAAAAAGAAAAAUUAAGAGAGAAAGAAAAUAUAGGUGAUAAAUUUGGUAGUUAGCAUUGACUAGUAUAUAAAAUAUGAUUCAAUACUUUUUUGGGGGGUUAUAAGCCAAUUUGGCCUACCGUAUACACUGUACAAGUGAUAUCCAAUACAUGCUCAACCCAAAAGUAGUAAAAUUUUAAGUGUAAAAAACACUAGAGCUGAACGGAAUCGAACCUAAGUGGUGAGGGCGGGCUUGAACCCACUUUAACACUGCUCCGCUAUCUUGCUAAGUUUUUAAGUGGGUUCAGAUAAUCUUUAUACAUAAAUUUUACAAUGUUUUUCUCUUACAUAAAUGAUAAAUUUUUCAAUGAAGCGUGUUCAGUUGAACCUACCUGACACCAUGUAGGUCCGCCCCUGGUGGUAACCUUUCCCUCGUGAGAAUGAAAAUCCAUUCUUCAAGUUCAAAAAUCAUUCCAUUUGUUUGCUUGCUUGCUUUAGGGGGCGCUUUGGUAUUUAUUUUCUCAAGUUGUCUUCUAGAUUUCUCAUGAAUUGUCUUCUUAGCUUCUCUUUCCUCUUGGAAUCUAAUUCACAACCUCUCGAGAGAGCGAAAUUAAAUCCAAAAGGGUAAACACAUUCAAAUAAAGACAUAUCAAUAAAUGAAUGUAUAGUACAAUUGCAAGGAAUCUCAACUAAAGAUAAGUGAUCCUCCUAUGAACUAAGCUUCCCCUUGACCAAUAUGACUCUUAAGUGUCACCUAAUUUGUCAUUAAUCACUUUAAUUUGUCCAUCAAUUUGAAGGUGAUAAGAAGUAUAGACAUCAAUUGUGCCAAGCUUAGCUAACACUUUUCGAAAUGAGCUAAGAAACUUAAAAUCCCUAUCACUAAUAAUGUCUAUGAUCCUCAUGCAAUGUAAGCAUAAAUUUAACAAAUAAGUCAACAACAUCAAUAACAUCAUAACUUCUAUGUCAUAGUAUAAAAUAAGUCAUCGUAAAAUAUCUAUCAUUUACCAAAAAAAGAUUAAGCUUUAUCAUUUUGUUCUAGAUAAGUCAAGCACGAAAUCCUCAUUCUUCAAUCAAGAAUAGGAUUGAGGGCAUGAGCAUAUCACUGGACACACCAUAUUUGUAUAUCGUGUUUUAACAAGAGGUAAUCUGGUGUCGUGGAAGAGACAAAAACUAGAUAUGGUUGCUCUGUUCAAUGGCUAUAAAAUAUGAGCUAGAUUGGAUCAAACAUUUGCUUAGAGAAUUGAAAUUUGAAGGCUUCAGGUAUAGAUUUAAAUCUGACCAAAAUUGAUAGAUACAUUCGAGACGUAUAUAAUGAUUUCUGAAAUAAAAAGAAAAGUUAGGGUGAAUUCAUAAUUUAGACAUGUUUUUCUUCUCGUUGAAGGAUAUUUGAAAUAAAACAUACGCGACCAAAAAGUGUUUAAAGAUAUUUACAAAAUUACAAGUUAACAUCAUUGCUUAAUGUGCAAUGAACUUGAGAAGUUUAUCAUAGACUCUAUAUCAUUUGCAAUGGUUAUGUUGCACCAGAAAAAUAGUAGGAAGAUAUAUAUGUACUAAAUAGUUAUAGAUUCAAACUUGUUCUCUAACAUUCGUGCAUCCCUUUCGUCACGGUUAGUCCACGAUAAUUUUGGUUUUAGAAAUUUAAAUUAUUUUUAGCCAAAUCCCUACACUUGGAUCUGUAACCCUAAAUUCAUGUUAGGAUUUCACUUGAAUUUCCUACCGUAUUUUAAAAACAUUUUCUUGUCAAAAAAGAUCUCUUCUAUAGAUGGUUUUCUUGGAGAAGUUUUGGACUUCAAUAAAUAGAUGAUCUUUACUUCUCAUAUAUAAUACAAUUUCAUCCCUACUACUUUUACUAUAAGAGUCUUAUUUUGGGAGAGAAAAGUAGCUUUUAUCGUUUUUAAUAUUAUUUCUCAUUAUAUGUAGGCCAGUUGACUAAACCAUAUCAAUAAUAUGCUUUUUAGUAUAGGUUUACUUUGUUAUGUGAUCGUUGAAGGCUUGCAAUUAUUAGCUUCCGCGUGAUGCCCUGUCAAUUUUGAUGUAUCUCAACAAGUGUUAUCAGAGUCAAAUAGUCUAAUGAUUUAGUGAAGCAAGGUAGAGGACAGGUUCAAAUUAUGUUGCAACCAAUUUAAUGAUAAUGAAGAUUUUUUUCUAGCUAAUACACGAGGAGAUAAAAUUUCAAUCAUAGAUAAAAUCUAUACUAUAUUUUCAAUAAUCAUGUUGCUCCAUCUUUAAAACAAAAUCAAUUUUCACAUUUGCUAACUUUUAAUGCUUGAGCUCCUUUUAACUCAUGCCUGCUUUUAAUACAUGAGCUUCACUUUUAACUUAUGUUCACUUUUAAUGCACAAGGUUUAAUUUUCAAUCACACUCACUUUUAGCAUAGGGCUCCAGUAUUAUUGAUCCCUUCUUAGUUUAACGCACAUGACUUCAAUUUUUACCCCGCAUCAACUUUAAUCAUGGUAAGAAGCAGUAAUAGGCUAAUCCUUACUUAGAGAAGUUUGAACUUCUAUACAUAACACAAUAUCAUUCACAAUGUACACUCAUCAUAGGAGUCUUGUUUAUGAGGAAGUUUUCUCUAUGUAGUUUUAUUAUUCUUGAUAUUAAUUUUCAUCAAAUGUAUGUUAGUUGACCAAAUCAUAUCAAUACUAUGCUUUUUAGUAUAGUUUUAAUUUGUUAAAUGAUUUAUUGUUGAAGGUUCUCUCUCCCCCCUCUCCCGCCCAGUUCCCCCCCACCCCAACACACACCAAAAAAAGGACCCACACCUUACUAAUUAAAAGAGGCUUCAUAUCCAUGCCGAGGGUAUUUUUGAUGGUUUAGUGCCUAAUGCCCAAAGAGAUCGAACACCAUAAAAUAUGUUCCAGAGUUUUCUGACGCACUAUGGUUUAAACCUAUGCAAAUUGAUCUCCUCAACCUAACAUUUUCCUUAUACUUGCCCACCAACAGGCAUAUCUGAUAUUAUAUGUUCCAGUCUGACAGGGAUUCUUCAACGAUACGAAAGCCACGCCGCAGCAGAAAAAAAGAUCUCUGCAGAAAUCCAGGACGCAGAGGUAUUUGAUUAGCCGACUGUUAUCAAGUUAUAUUCUAGUUAAUUUGAAUCCUCUCAGGAUACUUGAAGCGUGCACCAUAUAUUUUUCUUAAUUAAUUUGGUUACCACUUGCCUUGGUGUGAUGAGUAUUUAAGUAACUUUCAACAUGCAUCCUUCAAAAAAAAAAUAAAGAGCAGCCCUGAACUGGUGAGAGAUCAAAAUCGGGCCAGAACUAUUUCCAGAUGAACUGUGAAAUACUUGUAAAUUUCCUUCAUUUUUAAUAGGUCCGAAGAUGCUAAAUAUACACGUUACCAUUAGUGUGCCACCUAGGACUGGAAGGUCCAAAUUAUAAAUGAUGCUUACUAUUCGUCAUAGUGCAUCGUAGAUCAUGCUGCUGUUCGACUAAAUGCUCUAUCAAAAAAAAAAAUCUUGUUGCUGGACUAAAAUGAGUUAUGCUAGACAUACACAGUAUUUCGUCAAAUCCUGGAAUAAUGCUCUGACAAGAUGUUCAUUCAUGUAGUUAAUACGGGUGAUUAGUAACUUAUCAUUAUUGCAUUGUGUAUUUUGCAAUUUAUCCACUGUACUCAAUUGGGUGUUAUUCAAUGUUAUCUUGAAUAGACAUAUUUACAUUAUUGGUGCUGAGAGUUUUCUAAUCAUUCUGAGGUGGACAUAGCAGUCUAAAUUCUCAAGUAUGACAACGGGAGAACUGCUUCAAGAAACAGAAAGGUACUGAUCCUUUAUUUCAUUUCUAUUUCUUAAAGAUUAUACCACUGACGCUUGGUUUUAGUUUGACAGACAGCUCGAGGAAAAUGUUGACGGUGUCACUGCAACUGACCUUAUCCAUUUGGAAAAUGAACUUCUAACUGCUCUUGUACAAAUCAGAUCUAGAAAGGUCUUUCUACAUUCCUCUGUAGCUUCCCCUACUGGAAUUGCAUCAUUGGAACUCUAAUGUUAAAUAUUCAUGAAAGUGUACCAGCUUCCUUUCUCACUGCCUCUUUGCUUUACUACUAGAAGCUGUCACGCAUCAUGUGUUUUUCAGACAUGACAACACUUAGCUGGAGCACCUCAAUGUUGUUUUGAUUCACAUCUCCCGUAACUCUAUGCGUUCUAAUGCUUUGUCUCAUGAUUUAUUUUAUCAUUCCAAAUGGUGAGAGACCAUAGUUAUUAGUGAAUUCCUCCAGCUAUGCCUUCUGUUUUUGGUUACUUUCGCUUUUGUCUUUUUAUAAGCAUUUGCAUUUGUUUUUUGAAUAAUGUCUGACUUCCAGUAUUAUUAUCUGGUUCCAUUUGAGUCGGUACCUCAAAAUGAAGCAAGUUUAAAUAGUUUUGUUUUUUGCAGACACAUUUGAUGCUUGAAUCUAUUAAGGGUCUUCAUGAGAAGGUACGUUUUCAUGUUCAAUAACUACCGCAUACUAGUUUUUCGGAAAGUCAAUGAGUUUGAUUCCUCUGUUUCCGACUCUCUGUCUGAACUACACCUUGAUUCCCAGAAAUUUGACUUUCAGAUCAAGGUGCAUUGGAAAAUAGGAUCUUUUCAUCCUAUGUUUGCUCAAACUCUUCAAAAAUAGGUGUGUGCUGGAUCCUUCAAAAGCUAUGCAUUUUGGAGGAUCCAAUGAAAGUAUGGCAGAAAUUUUUGCAGGGUCCGAGCAACAAGUUGAACUCUUCCUCUCAGUGUCCUUGGUUUCAACCAAGGACUAGUUAGUAGUGUUUGCAUGCUAAUGUCGCAAAUUGUGUAAGCUUAACAAGGACUAGUCAGUAGCUAAGUUGCUCGAACUCUUCAAAAAUGUCUACGGGUGCGUGUCGGAUCCUUCAAAAAUAGUGUAAUUUUGAAGGAUCCGACACGGGUGCGGCAACAUUUUUGGAGAAUCCGAGCAACUUAGGUCAGUAGUGCUUGCAUGCUAACGUCCCAAGUUGCGUAAGCUUAAGAUAGUCAGUUACCUUAUUGUUGGAAGGAGUAUAAGAAGGCACAAAACAUCCAUUUGUUCUUGGGCCAUCAUAGAAACAUAGAGUUGACAACGGAAUGAAGAACGAAACUUUACGACAGCUUUGUCAUAGACGUUCACUUGCAUUACAUACAGAAGUGCUCUCUGAACCGUGCAAUAAGGUCACCCAUAACACGGCUCUCCCAUUUGAGUUAUCUUAGCCCCAGGCCAUGUUAUUCAAUAAUAUUGGAAAACCGAGUUUCUUGAUAGGCUGGUCUAGAAGUAUGUUAAGACUUAAUUGACUACCAGACAUAUAUUCUAGCUUCUCUGUUGAUCAAAUCUCAUACAAUAGUCUUUGCUCCUUCAAAUCUGGACGGAUUUAAUAGGCAUCCCUGCUUUCUACUGCUCUAUGUAGCUCUUUUUAAUCAAUAGCUCUCAUCAGAUAUCUUUAAUUAUUUUAGUAUGAAUUGAUAUCAUGUUAAAUUUUCAAGAGAGACUGCACAUGAUACUCCUUAUUGCAGGAAAAACUGCUGCUAGAGGAAAAGAAACAACUGGAGAACAAUGUAAAUAUUACUUCAUAAAAUCUGCUCUCCAAUUUUACCCCUUUCAUGUUUUCCUAACUUAGUAAAAUUAAUACAUGCAUUAUGCCCAUGCAGAUGGCUCGAAUGAAGAAAAACAGAAGAGUUAAUGAGAAGUCUGACCUUCCACAACAGAGAGUGACCCUGAAUUUCCUCUAGCAAUUGUCAUUGUAUUUGUCAAAUAGCCAGUGGAAUAACCUGCUAAGAUUAGCAAAAUUCAAUGUUCCCAGAAAUAACUAAUGUUAUGCAGUUUCAACUUUCAAUAAAACUAAUUAUUUCAGACUUGGUUCUUGUUUUUCUUGGAUGGUGAUUAGGGCGUACGCUUUUUUCUCGUCUCCCUGAUGUUCCAUAAUGUACUCUUUAAGUUUUCUUCUUCUUGCAGUCAUUCAUUCCCGUUUCAAGAAUGAAAUGCUGCCCCUACUUGACAUGAGAUUGAGUCCUUACUACUCGCACCAAUAUCAGUACUGAGUGGCCGGAAAUUGAUUAAAAAUAACUGCUUCACAGAGUUUGAAAUCUUAUUCUAUGAAUUGACUUUCAUUCUUUGGAAUUACCUUACUGGGUUAGGGGGGAACAAUGUAUAAAUAGUUGCCGUGCAAAAGGUUACUUGUGCAAAUGCCUAACAACAACUAAGUAACAAUACCAUCUUGACCAGAGCGUGGAACAAAAAUUUGAUGCUUAUGAAUUUGAAAUUUGAGCUCUUCUACGUUACGAAACGCUAAAUUAAAAAUUUGCAACGUCCAAUAAUUUUUUAAAAAACAAAUUCACUUUUUGAACCAAAAUUACUGAUCCGAUCAAACAGUAACUAACAAACUGGCUUCGACCCUGAGCCUGAGUCGGAAGAGCAAAAAACAGAUAUGCAUAAUAAAGCAGUGACGUGACAUAAUAUAUUAAGAGGCCAUUUAAUAAAGUGUAUUAAUAAGAAUAAUGCAUGUCUGUAUUGAGGUAUUAAAGUUUGUAAGUAUAAAAUAAAUUCAAAUAAUACCUAAGGAGAUUUGAUCUCACAAUCAAAAAGUCAACAAAAUUUUUACAAAUCUCUUUACUCCACUAGAUCAACAACACACUUUAUUUAUAAUUUCUCAACUUAUAAUUUUUAUGUUUUACAAAUCUCUUUACUCCACUAGAUCAACAACACAUUUUAUUUAUUUAUAAGUUCUCAACUUAUAAUUUUUAUAUAUUUACUAGAUUUUUUAAUAUAAAUACAAAAUCCUCAUGAAAGUUACUGAAUUUUCAAAAACCCUCACUCAACCCCUAAAUCUGCCCCCUGAUGACAUUAAUAAUACAAUGAAUUUAAUGCACACAUUAGUAUGAUUAAAAAUACAAUUAUUACUCAAUUUUUUUUUCACAUCCUUUCCAACAUACAUAUAAAGGAUAUUUUUAUAAAAAAUUUAUGUAAUUCAUAUUAUUUUUAAUACAUCAAAUUAAACAUUGUAUAAAAAAUACAAAUAUAACUAAUGCAAAUAUAACUAAUACAUCAUAUUUUACAUUAUUCUUAUACAUUCUAAGAAAUGAUUCCUAACAUCAACUAAUCCCUAACAUCAACUAGGGUAUACUGAAGUAUAUGCAUUUAUGCAAUUCGAAGUUCGGUCGUCCACAACAACAACAUUCAAAUCGUCGAAAAAGAGGGAUUAAACAGAAGGAAAUUUGCAUUUUAAAAAGAGUAUAAUCAAAUAAAUUUGAACACUCGAUCGAAAUAUUAAAAAAAAAAAAAAAAAAAAGCCCAGUAAACAAAUCAGAUAAUCGAACUUACAGAUUCAUGGAAAAAAAUAUCUGAAAUAUCAAUAAGCCUUUCCUCUUGUGGGUUUCCAUGUAAGUUACGGUUCCAGGGAGAAAACAUAAUACACUUCUGC